Molecule: unclassified non-coding RNA, 392 nt
Organism: Mesocricetus auratus (golden hamster)
Lineage: Eukaryota; Metazoa; Chordata; Mammalia; Rodentia; Cricetidae
Gene: 7SK
Rfam family: 7SK RNA
About the family: 7SK was discovered as an abundant small nuclear RNA in the mid-70s but a possible function has only recently been suggested. Two independent studies have found that 7SK RNA binds the CDK9/cyclin T complex (known as elongation factor P-TEFb). P-TEFb activates transcription by phosphorylating the C-terminal domain of RNA polymerase II.
Source: Ensembl
GGGGAGGGAGAGGGAACUGGGAUUGACAUGUGAAGCAAGCUAUUUAAAAUUAAAAUAAAUAAAUAAAUGAACAUGAGGAAAGAGAAAAAAAAGAAGCAAGCUUGCUUCACAUAUCAAUCCCAGCUCCCUCUCCCUCCCCUCCUCCCCUGCUUCCCCAACACCCCCCUCCUUCCCUUACCCCGUGCCCAAUCCCCAAUCCAUUCCUCAGAGGAUGACCUUCCCCCAAAUAGAGGAAGACCGGUCUUUGGUCAAGGGUGUUCUAGUAUCUGUGCUUCCCUGUUAGAACUUCCAAACAAGCUCUCAAGGUCUGACAACUAUUUAAAAAGGUUUUUAAAAUCUUGUUAAAGUUAAGACUGACACCAUAAUUUUAUGUAUAUAAAAUUAUAUUAUGU